GUGCCCGAAAGCAUAAGCUCGUUAAUUUACUGGAUAAAUCUGAUUUUGACACAUGCUUUUCAAGCUUCUAGGUACUGCCCUUUCCCAACCACACAUUGACGAGUCCCCUGCCCACAUGUCUCCUUCAGCAUUAGCCUUACUUCUUAUCCUCCUCGGAACUCUCUGUUCCUUUAUCUACGUCUCUCGACCAAAACGCCUCAAAAAUGGCCGGAAACUUCCUCCCGGUCCGCGCCCCCUGCCGGUAAUCGGUAACCUCCAUCUGCUAGGAAAGCUUCCACACCUAAAUCUUCACCAUCUAGCCAAAAGAUAUGGCCCCAUCAUGUUAUUAAGGCUAGGCUAUGUACCCACAAUCGUGGUAUCAUCACCUCAAGCCGCCGAACUAUUCCUCAAGACCCAUGACGUUGUUUUUGCAAGCAGGCCCAAAGUCCAAGCCUCGGAAUACUUGUCGUUCGGUGGGAAAGGCAUGGGUUUUACCGAGUACGGUUCCUACCGGCGAACUGUUCGGAAAUGGUGUACUCUACACCUUCUCAGUGGUGUAGAUAUUUUUAAAAUGAUGUGGUCAUUUAAGUGGUUUUUAUAUUAUUAUUUUAUUAUUUAUUUAAAUGAAAUCAGAUAUGAUGAUCAGUUACACUUUUAAAAAUUUAGUAAUUAAAUUAAGAUAAAUUAAAAUUUGAUAAGCAAAACGAGAAAAGAGAUAUAAAUUUGAUAACAAUCUAUGAAACUUAAUUGAGCACUACCGAUACAAAAACUCAAUAGAUUGUUGGUAUCAAAGCAUGGAUUUAUAUUUGAUACACCAAUAGCCUAUAGUUUUCAUAAACUGUCAAGGCAUAAUAUGGUGCAACCCAAAGCCGGCUUUACCAUAAAGCCACCAUAGCCUUUGUUUUAAAUCUCAAUUUUUUAUGGAUCUCAUAAUUUUAUAAUAAUAUAAUUAAUUAUAUUAAAGAUAUAUAAAAAUUAAAAUAAUUAAUAAAAUAUUUCUUAAAUUAAGUGCCUAACAAAUAUCUAUAUUCUCUCACUUCGCACAUCUUAUUAAUUAUCAACUAUUUAUCUCAUUUUCUAUUAAAAAUAUGUAAAAGUUAAAACAAUUAAUAAAAUGAUAUAUUCUCUCACUUCUUUAAUUAUGUGUCUAAUAAAUCUUUAUUUUUUAUCACUUUUCAAUUUUUACAAUGCUAUCAAUGCUCAAUUAUUUUUCAUAUUUUCAAUCAACGGUAAUAUGUAUUUAAUAAUCUCCAACUAAUAAUGAAUUUUUGAGUAAAAUACCCCCACCUCCUAAAUUUUAAUCGAAAUUUCAAAUAAAUCUAUUAGUUUUUAAAAUAGAUACUUCAUCUCAGAAAAAUAUCUUCCACUGGAUACAUAAAUUCAACUGUUAGUCAACCGUUAGUUUUUUCGUUAGAUUGAUGAUGUGGUCAUAUUGAAAUGAUAAUUUUACCCUUUACUAAUUAUAAAAAUUACUAUUAUAUAAUUUUUAUUAAUUUGUUAUUAUUUUUUAAUUAAUUUAAAAAAUAAGAGGGAGAUCGGUAAAAUUUAUAAAUUUUAUUCAUAAUUAUAAAAUAUAUAAUUUUUAUAAAUUUAUAAAUUUUAACAAUAAUGAAUCCAAAACCCCAAAUUUUUAAUUUUGAGUCUUGAAGAUAAUAUUUAUUUCACUCUUCUUCUUAGUUUAAUUCUUAAUAUUUAUUUCACUCUUCUUUUUUAAAUUACUUCUAAAAAAUGAAAAUGGAUUUAAUACUUUCAUGUCAGUUUGUUCAACAAUGGCUUGCCUUGAAAAAUGGUUGAGAAAAGGAGAUUGAGAUUGAUAUUUUUUUAAUUUUUAAAAAUAAUUAGUAAUAUUUAUUUUUAAACUCCUUAAAAUUAUAAAUUUAUUUUUUAAUGAGAUAGCAUCAUUUGAUAUCUUAACAGUGUAUAGAAAAUAUACUCUAGCAGUGCAUUAAAUAUAUAUAUAAACACUGUCAAGACAUCAUUUGAAACAUUUUUCGAAUGCUUCUUAACAUUAACCACAUGGGUUCAUCUCAUCUUCUCUAAAUAAAAAGAAUAAAUAACAAAAUCAUCUAUAACACAAGUAAAAGAAAUCCUUAAAAAGGGCUUCCAAGUUUAGCCACGUUGUGACUUUUUUUGGAUGACAUCUGUUCAGAAUAUAUUUAAUAUUAUUUUAUUUGUUUUUUUUUUUAAAGUUGAUGAAUUUCAUUAAUAGAAAAACAAAGAUAAGUUCCUUAGAUACAAAAACAAAGCACACUAUGCCUUGAUCAUCAUAUCAUCUCAAAAUUAUGUUGACAACCUGCCCAAGAGAAGCCAUCAAAAAAUAGAUCACCAAAAACAAACAUCCCUAUCAUCAAUUUAUAGACAGAAGAAGAUUCAACCCCAGCAUAAAGCCAUAAAGUCAUACCAAAAUCCCCCUGCUCAGUAAUUCAUUCUAGAUCAAUAAAAAACAGGUUGCAAUCCAAUCUAAAAUUCUGAAAUCUAGAUCACACGUCUUUACAAGUAAUCACAGCAUCUCAUUCAAAAGACUCCAUAUCAUCUUAGUAUUAUUUGAUUUGUAGAGGAUGCAUGUGUGGUAUUUUCUUUUUAUGCUCACUAAAACCAACUCACACUCUGGCUUUCAUUCAAUUGAGUCCUACUCCAGAAAACAUCAAUAGGCAAGGAAGCAAAGUAAAAGCCACUCCAAAAGAAAAAGCCCAAAAAAAGUGAAAAAAACUUGCACCUCCAGAGGAACGGUGGCUAGGUCUUGUUAGAAAGAGAGGAAAUUGGCGGUAGAAAGAAGGGGAAGAGAAGAAAAGAAGAAAAUGGGAAAGGGAAAGAAAGAGGGAGUUGUUGCCGAAAAUGCCCAGUUCGGCAUAGGCGACGGCAUCAGGGGCCAAGUUCGGGAGAAAGGGUUUAGAGAAACGGGUUGGUUGCUAGGGUCAGUGGGAGAAGAAGAAGAAGAGAGCAAAAACGAAGAAAAGGGAAAGGGGUUGCCAGCUACGUUUAGGGAAAAUCAAAACCACGUCGUUUUAUGGAUACAAAAAGAAGAAAAAGAAGAAGUGGGUUGGAUUCACUCAAGCCCUAACCGAUGCAAUUUUAGAUUUAGUCAAUUUAUUUUAUUUAUAUAAUUCUUUUUUAUCUAUAAAUUAAAUUUAUAAAAUUACGGAUAAAAAAAAUUAAACUAUUUUUUUUAUGAGAAAUAAAAAAUAAAACAGUUUAUUGAAUGAAGUUAACAAUGACUCAUUAAAAUUAUCGGGGAUCCCAAAAUUAUUUUCACAAGGUGGAUUAAUUCUAAAUAAAUAUAAAAGUAUAAGAUAAAAAAAUAAUAAUUAAAAUUAAAGAAAAUUCAUAAAAUUUCAUAAUUAAAAUUAAAAAAUUUUAAUAUGAGUUAUUAAUAUGCAUUUUAUUUUGACUUUCAAAAGAAAUAAUCAUUUUAUUAUAUAACUUAUGUAGCUUUUUUUUUGCUACCCAUAUAAAUUAUGUAGCUUAUGAAUAAUAACUUUCAAUAAAUUAAAUUUUCUUAAUUUUAAUUUUAUUUUACUAUUGGAAUCAUCAUAAUUAACAAAAUAUGAUUAUAUUAAUAUUAAUAUAUAUUAAGAUAUAAAAAAUAAAUAUUUUUAAAAAUUAUUUAAAUAAAAAAUUUUACUUAGUAAGACAUAGGAAAAUCUUUUUAAAAUAUCAAUUUUUUAAAAUAAUAAGCUUUAAUUUAUUAUGAUUACUAUUAUUUAUAAUUUUUUUCAAAUUUAAAAUUACUUUUUAAUUAUUAUUAUUUUAUUUAUAAUAUUAUGAAAUUUAAAAUUAUUCUUUAUUAAAAAAAUUAACCCCAUGCAAAGCGGGGCACCACUCUAGUCUUAUUAAUUAGUGCCCGAAAACAGAAGUUCAUUAAUUUACUGGAUAAAUCUAAUAUUGACACAUGCUUUUCAAGCUUUUAGGUAUUGCCCUUUCCCAACCACACACUGACGAUUCCCCUACCCACAUGUCUCCUUCAACAUUAGCCUUACUUCUUAUCCUCCUCGGAACUCUCUGUUCCUUUAUCUACAUCUCUCGGCCAAAACAACUCAAAAAUGGCCGGAAACAUCCUCCCGGUCCCCGGCCCUUGCCGGUAAUCGGUAACCUCCAUCUGCUAGGAAAGCUUCCACACCUAAAUCUUCACCAUCUAGCCAAAAGAUAUGGCCCCAUCAUGUUAUUAAGGCUAGGCUAUGUACCUACAAUCGUGGUAUCAUCACCUCAAGCCGCCGAACUAUUCCUCAAGACCCAUGACGUUGUUUUUGCAAGCAGGCCCAAAGUCCAAGCCUCUGAAUACUUGUCUUACGGUGGGAAAGGCAUGGGUUUCACCGAGUACGGUUCCUACUGGCGAACUGUUCGGAAAUGGUGUACUCUACAC
This 4339-nucleotide long non-coding RNA is filed under the name Theobroma cacao (cacao). Its description in RNAcentral is "long non-coding RNA (TCAC_LNC001515)". Lineage: Eukaryota; Viridiplantae; Streptophyta; Magnoliopsida; Malvales; Malvaceae. The record is from RNAcentral.